AUCUUACUGAUCUUAUUUUAAUUUAAAGAAUAUUUUGAAAGAAACCACCAGGAUUUCCAAAGCCCAACUAUUCCCAGACAUCAGAGACCAUAGUCCGAAUACCUACUGAACACAGAAAGUUGGUUCGCUGUUCAUAAAGACUCUAAACAGGUUUCUCUCUGGCUCCACCCACUGAUGCUGAACUCAGCCAAUGAGAUGGUCUCUUUCUGCAGAACUCCAGCCAGCCUGAUGUUGAGGAGAAGGCUGUGCAGCAGAGAGGCUGCUUAGUCUUUUCAUUCUGCUGAACUUUGUUCAUCUGCUGUGUGACUUCAACACCUGAAACAUGUUCCUUUACCUGUUUGUACUUUUCUCUCACUGCAUAGCUUUGGGCUCCAUGAACAGCAUAAAGCAGGAACGUGCUGAAGAAGCUGUUGCAGAGGAAGGAAACAUCAACCUGACCUGUACAUAUGAUGGUCUUAUCAACAAUAUCCAGUGGUACCGACAAUACCAGAGAUCCAGACCAGAGUUCCUGCUCUCCAUCACAGAGGGAGGAUCAGUUCAUGAAGCUGUGUCGGGAUUCUCAGCUCACAUUGACAAAACAGAGAAACGUGUAGAUCUGGAGAUCUCCUCUGCUGCAGUGACAGACUCUGCUGUGUACUACUGUGCUCUGCAGCCCACAGUGACAGGAAACACCAAAACUCUGUACUAAAACCUUUGGAGCAAAGACAACAGAAUACUCCACAACAUCCACUAGAGGGAGACACACACCUUUGUUAGGAUACAGAAUCAUAACACAGCUGUGAUGAGCUUCAGGUGAAGUGAAUGUGAUGUGAGCCUCCUCCUCCUCCUGACUGCAGAAACCUGUCUGACUCCAGCUGUGAACAUCAGUCCACUCACAGCUAACUCCCAGUAAAUUGAUGUGGAUUUCAUCCUGACAUAUAUACCUGUAUACACUAGAUACGUAAUCGCAGUUACUUGAAUAAAUUGUGUGUAAUGAUACAUACUCAUAUAUCAGGGAUAGCUCAGUAGGUAGAGUGGUG
This is a non-coding RNA of Oreochromis niloticus (Nile tilapia), 1019 nucleotides long. The record is from the annotation of a RefSeq genome assembly. Lineage: Eukaryota; Metazoa; Chordata; Actinopteri; Cichliformes; Cichlidae.